AGUGAUCUUUGGACGAGCACUGCCUGGAGUGACUUCCCGGAGCGACUACAUGAAGUCGCUGUGACACCCCUCCCAGAGCGACCUUCCCGGAGUGACAUGGAGAGGUCGCUCGCGUUUCUAUCACGAGACACCCCUCCCAGAGCGACUUGCCAGAGCGACGCUCCGAGGUCGCUCACGUUUCCAUGGCGAGACGACACAAAACGAAGCCCGG
RNAcentral lists this long non-coding RNA (211 nucleotides) under Brassica napus (rape). RNAcentral describes it as "long non-coding RNA (BNAP_LNC014418)". Lineage: Eukaryota; Viridiplantae; Streptophyta; Magnoliopsida; Brassicales; Brassicaceae. The record is from RNAcentral.